This 468-nucleotide ribosomal RNA is filed under the name uncultured bacterium. RNAcentral describes it as "partial 16S ribosomal RNA". It matches the Rfam family "Bacterial small subunit ribosomal RNA", at positions 28 to 507 of the family's 1533-position model. The record is from RNAcentral.
GACGAACGCUGGCGGCGUGCUUAACACAUGCAAGUCGAACGGAAAGGCCCUGCUUUUGUGGGGUGCUCGAGUGGCGAACGGGUGAGUAACACGUGAGUAACCUGCCCUUGACUUUGGGAUAACUUCAGGAAACUGGAGCUAAUACCGGAUAGGAGCUCCUGCUGCAUGGUGGGGGUUGGAAAGUUUCGGCGGUUGGGGAUGGACUCGCGGCUUAUCAGCUUGUUGGUGGGGUAGUGGCUUACCAAGGCUUUGACGGGUAGCCGGCCUGAGAGGGUGACCGGCCACAUUGGGACUGAGAUACGGCCCAGACGCCUACGGGAGGCAGCAGUGGGGAAUAUUGCACAAUGGGCGGAAGCCUGAUGCAGCAACGCCGCGUGCGGGAUGACGGCCUUCGGGUUGUAAACCGCUUUCGCCUGUGACGAAGCGUGAGUGACGGUAAUGGGUAAAGAAGCACCGGCUAACUACGUG